AUGACGGCGGCGUACGGAUCCAGGCGAGCGGCGGCGGACGGGUCGGACGCGCGGGAUGACGGCGGCGUACGGAUCCAGGCGAGCGGCGGUAGGACCUUGCAAGGCGUCGGGGUUCUCCGUGGCGGCACCAUGGUUGCUCCGCCGUACAGGGGAGGCACGGCAGGGCGAGCAUGGCAGAGGCCGAGAACCAGGUUGUUCACGCCCCCUCCAUGGCUCGUCGUCGCCCAGUGGCAAGAUCCUGCUGCAGGCGAGCCCUCCAGACAGCAUCUCUCCUCCCUCUCGGUGUUACAGAAUGAAGUCAAUCUCCUUAACCCGCUGGCUGAGCUAGAGAAGCAAGCACAAGAAGAAGCAUCUCGUGCAGUCCAUCAGCUCAUCCUGAUGUCAAGUGCCAAGACCGCUUCAACAUAUAAUUUGGCUGUCAAAGUGCUACAUCGCAUCUCACUAGACCUAUUGAGCUGCUUCCAUGACCAUACUUCAAAUAGGGGAGAUUAG
This 492-nucleotide ribosomal RNA is filed under the name Triticum aestivum (bread wheat). Its description in RNAcentral is "partial small subunit ribosomal RNA". The record is from RNAcentral. Lineage: Eukaryota; Viridiplantae; Streptophyta; Magnoliopsida; Poales; Poaceae.